This 477-nucleotide ribosomal RNA is filed under the name uncultured bacterium. Its description in RNAcentral is "partial 16S ribosomal RNA". It matches the Rfam family "Bacterial small subunit ribosomal RNA", at positions 28 to 506 of the family's 1533-position model. The record is from RNAcentral.
GAUGAACGCUGGCGGCGUGCCUAACACAUGCAAGUCGAACGGAGACAAGCAGCUAAUACCUUCGGGUCAAAGAGGGGAAGACUGGGUGGCGGACGGGUGAGAAACACGUUGGCAACCGGGCUCAAAGAGGGGGAAAACAGAGAGAAAUUUCUGCUAAUACCGCAUACGCACACGCUGCCGCACGGCAGAGGGGGAAAAGGGGAUCGCCAUGAGAUGGACCCGCGUCUGUUGAGCCAGGUGGCAGGGUAAGAGCGUACCAAAGCGACGAUCAGUGGCCGAUCUGAGAGGAUGAACCGCCCCCUUGGGACUGAGACCCGGCCCGAACUCCGCCGGGAGGCCGCAGUGGGGGAUAUUGCACGAUGGGGGGAUCCCUGAUGCCGCGGCGCCGCGUGAGUGAAGAAGUAUUUCGGUAGGUAAAGCUCUAUCAGCCGGGACGCUAUUGCCUGUACCUGAAUAAGAGGCCCCGCCUACCUCCGU